GUAGUGGCGGUUCAGUGGUAGAAUUCCUGCCUCCCAUAUGGGAGACCCAGGUUCAAUUCCUGGCCAAUGCA
Molecule: transfer RNA, 71 nt
Filed under: Loxodonta africana (African savanna elephant)
Lineage: Eukaryota; Metazoa; Chordata; Mammalia; Proboscidea; Elephantidae
Rfam family: tRNA
About the family: Transfer RNA (tRNA) molecules are approximately 80 nucleotides in length.
Source: Rfam by way of RNAcentral